This is an RNA transcript of Brassica rapa (field mustard), 1861 nucleotides long. It is a transcript of the gene named ultraviolet-B receptor UVR8, with no coding region annotated. The record is from RefSeq and is a predicted model, not a curated record. NCBI's taxonomy places the organism in Eukaryota, Viridiplantae, Streptophyta, Magnoliopsida, Brassicales, Brassicaceae.
UUUUCCUCUCUCUCUCACUGAGUCAACUCGUCUCUCUCUUUUCCGUUUCUCAGUUUCUUCUCUGUAACCAAGAACGUUAAAAAAAACGCCGAUUCGUCGAGAAAGUGAAACGCAGAUCGAUCACUGAAAGCAGACUUAGAUAUUCUGGUGGGUUUUGAUCAUCGGAAGAGUCUCUGCCAUGAAUGGGAACAACGGAGGAUCAGUUAACGCGAGCGUGGUUUACAUGUCCGGCUACUUACCAGGAGCCUCGCCGGAAAAGUCUCCGAUUCUCUCUCAUGUUCCCGUGCGGUUACCGGCGGCUGUCCACGGCGGAGGUUCAUGGAAAGACGUAUGCGGCGGCGGUUGUGGAUUCGCUAUGGCGAUCUCAGAGAAUGGGAAGCUUAUAACUUGGGGGUCUUCUGAUGAUGAAGGACAGAGCUAUGUGGCUUCUGGAAAGCAUGGGGAAACUCCAGAGCCGUUUCCACUUCCUACCGAGGCUCAAGUCAUACAAGCUUCUGCAGGAUGGGCACAUUGUGCCGUUGUAACAGAGGCUGGUGAAGCGUUUACUUGGGGUUGGAAGGAGUGCAUUCCAUCAAAGGACGUUGGUGGGAAGCAGCAGAGUGGCUUGACUGAGCAAGGUACAAAUGCAUCAAGCGGUCAGAAUGAGAACCGAAAGGUGGGGGAGGAACCAGUGAAGCGGAGACGGGUUUCUACCGCCAAAGAUGAAACGGAAGGUCUUACAUCUGGAGAGGACUACUUUGCUACAACACCUUCGCUUGUGAGUGUUGGCCUUGGAGUGAGGAUCACCAGUGUUGCUACUGGUGGUCGGCAUACUCUAGCAUUGUCAGAUAUAGGACAGGUUUGGGGUUGGGGAUAUGGAGGCGAAGGGCAGUUAGGAUUGGGUUCCAGGAUUAAAAUGGUUUCAGCUCCUCAUCUGAUACCUUUCCUUGAAUCACCUGGCUCUGGAAAAGAAAGAUCUUUUGUAUUGCAUCAAGGGACAGCAACCACGUCAAGAGUUCCUGGUCAGUAUAUAAAGGCGAUUUCUUGUGGAGGGCGUCACAGUGCGGCAAUUACAGUUGCAGAUUCUGGAGGGUUAAUAACUUUUGGCUGGGGACUCUAUGGACAGUGUGGCCAUGGAAACACAAAUGAUCAGCUAAGGCCCAUGGCUGUGUCAGAAGUGCAGAAUGUAAAGAUGGAAAGCGUAGCAACUGGAUUGUGGCAUACUAUUUGCAUCUCUAGUGAUGGUAAAGUGUUCGCCUUUGGUGGGAACCAAUUUGGGCAACUGGGAACUGGCACUGAUCAUGCUGAGACCAUACCGAGGUUGCUGGAUGGGCAGAACAUGGAGAACAAACAUGCAAUAGCAGUUAGCUGUGGAGCGCGACAUAGUGCGGUUUUGACAGUCGUUUUAAAGAGACGAAACUAAAGAGCCCUAUGAGAUGCUGCACCUUGUCUUCAGAUGAUGGUCAACUGCUAUGCUGGGGAUGGAACAAAUACGGGCAGCUGGGUCUAGGAGACACGAUUGACCGGAACAUUCCAACACAAGUCGAGCUCGAUGGCUGCAGACUGAGAAAAGUGGCGUGUGGAUGGUGGCAUACUUUACUUCUAGCUGACUCACCCACUUGAGCCAAUCACCAGAUCCUCCGUACAGGACAUUUUCAGGGUUUCCAUCUUGUGAAAGAGCUGCUUGUAGGUUUGAUAGAAGCUGUACAUACAGAGGAUAUUUUCUGUAUGUGUGUUUCUUCUUCUUCUUCUUCUUCAAUCUUUCUCUGUCUUUUAUGUUUUUCAAGGGACAGAUCUCUUUGACUUUGCAUUGUAUUAUAUGGCAAAUUUGCGGAACAAAACAAUAAAUCAGCUUGGUAUGAAAGAAUCUUAGGUUUCUUCU